This 71-nucleotide transfer RNA is filed under the name Marmota monax (woodchuck). RNAcentral's name for it is "tRNA.Ala". Lineage: Eukaryota; Metazoa; Chordata; Mammalia; Rodentia; Sciuridae. The record is from RNAcentral.
GGGGAUGUGGCUCAGUGGUAGAGUGUUUGCUUAGCAUGCACGAGGCUCUGGGUUCAAUCUUCAGCACCACA